AGCGCGCUGCUGAUGAGUGCAGCCACACACGCAUACGCUUCAUAUCCCUUUCUUCGUUCCUGAGCCCUUCGUGGCGCUCUCUUAGAGACCCACCCUCCUCCCGUGUUCGAGUGCGUCUGUGUGCCACCCCAAUGCUGCUCUCUUCACCGGUGGCGCGUGCAGCGCAGAAGGCGCCGGUGACCGCAGGCUUAUUGGUGUUCAUGUGUCUCAUGCUGCUGCUGAGCUCUUCCAAAGAUUUGACGUGCAUGCAUAGCGCCCUCUAUGAGCUGUUUCCGUGGCGGUUCGUCACGUACCCGCUUGCGAUGACGACGCGGCAGCCCUGGCGUGUCGCCGUGAACACCGCUGUUGUCCUCGCCGGGGCGUCUGCUGAGGCAUCCACAGGCAGCAGCGAGUACGCCACCUUCCUGCUCUUCACCGCCGUGGCGACAGGCGUUCUGGUGCUCCUCACAGACCUCGUCAUGUUCGAUCCGCUACGGCUUGCUGUUUGGGGCGGCAACGACAGCCACAACCGGCCGUACGGUUACACGGGCGUGUGGCCGGUGGCGGAGGUGGUUGGGUUCUCUCUGUGCCGCGUGCGGGGGGUGUCGGCGUUGGUCGGUCCGCGACUGCGCUGCGGUCAGCUGACGCUCCAACGACUCCCACUCGCUAUUGUCUGGGCCGCCUUCGGCUGUGAUGUGGUCUCGCUGGUGGUGGGCCGCAGUGCUGAGGAUUAUAAUGAGCACCGUGAAGGUUGGCAGGUUAUGGUGGCGUCCAUCGCCUUGCUUGUGAGCUGGCUGUACGAACGCCGCGUCACCGGAGCUGCGAACAGCGCCUUCGCCUUAGAAGCCUUCAUGUAUCCGGACCCGCUCAGGGAUGGCGCGCGCUGGGUGUGCGGACGCGUGCAGAGGCGUCUGCAAGCGUCGCCACUGCGCUUUCUACUUCCACCUGAGGGAGGAGUCGGUGGUGGGGCGGCAGCACUGCCCACGCCGUUGUUCUCCCGCGCCGCCGUGGGAAACGCCUUUCCUGGCAGCCCAAACACCGCGACAACGACGACGACCACGGCGCUACUGCCCGGUACAACCGCAGAGGAGGCGGAAAGGCACCGCCUCAUCGCACGAGAGGCCCUCGCCCGCCGACUUCAGCAGCAGCAGUCAAGUGCAUCUACGCCAUCCGCUGCGGAGGCGGUCGACUUGGCGACGAAGACAGCGUAGCGGCCCCUGACUGCACGCCGACGUUGUUUGGCUGGACAGGGAGGGAAGAGGCGGAGGCGCCGAUGGCGGCGGCAAUGUCGGGCACCUGACGUGGUGUGCCUUCUCUCAUGGCAGAACGCGCCUGGAGCUGUUGCGCCUUCGCAUCUCCUCCUCCUCCUGGCUCCUUGAUAUUAGUGAGCCGCGUGCUGCAUCUACCCUCGGCACACACGAAGCGAUUCGCACAUGAGGCUCACACGCGUGCGCGCCUCUGUCUGCCUGUCUGUCUGCGCAUGUGAGUGAGGGACGAGACGAAGAGACUUGCACAGAACGUCUUAGUCGCCCUCCCCUCCCCCACCUUCUCCAUCUUCUUCUCGUGAAACCCGUGACGCUCUCACCGACCGCUUCCUUCGCUCUGCGUG
Molecule: unclassified non-coding RNA, 1588 nt
Filed under: Leishmania donovani
Lineage: Eukaryota; Euglenozoa; Kinetoplastea; Trypanosomatida; Trypanosomatidae
Description: gene:LdHU3.07.0190(CDS-product:hypothetical_prote in_conserved)
Source: RNAcentral